This is a long non-coding RNA of Chinchilla lanigera (long-tailed chinchilla), 728 nucleotides long. RefSeq lists it as uncharacterized. NCBI's taxonomy places the organism in Eukaryota, Metazoa, Chordata, Mammalia, Rodentia, Chinchillidae. The record is from RefSeq and is a predicted model, not a curated record. The transcript is spliced from 3 exons.
GGUCCCCUGGGGCCGGUUGGGGCUAGUCUCCCCUGAGCACCUGCAGGUGAGAAGGGGGCUGCGGGAGAAUGGGGCUCACGGUUCAGCGGGCCAGAGAGGAUGUGGACCACUCAGGACUGCCCCCAGACCAGAGACCCAGAAGACUGAGCACCAGGAUGUCAACUUAGGUGGAACAAGUCAACCCUUGGCAAAUGCUUGAAAGUGGUGAAUUCAUCUGUAAAGAUGCCCAGCCUCCCAGGAAAUGUGCUGUUUUAGCCUGAGUAGAGACGUCGUGGCGAUUAGGAGCUGCAUAUGACGGCGGUGGCAGAACAAACACACUACCAUGUUGCCCAUUCGUCACGAGUGCAAAGGCCAGCAAGGUGCCUGGGAAGCUGUCCUCUAACAGGGAGCGGUCACGGGCUGCUGGGUCCCUACAGCUCCUGCAGCCUCACUCUGAAAUCCCUGGUGACACACACCAAAAGUGAGCAGUGCGCAUCUGGGAGAGAAGGAAAGGCUCACCUCCCAGUGGCCAGCAGAAGGAGGCAGCAUCGGAUAAUGGAUAAAGCUACUCUUGGUGGAAGCUGCUGCUGGUGCUGGUGGCUUCUGAACUGCAGUCCUGGGCACCUCUGAGGGCCGGAGAGCUGUUUCUGCAUGGUCUCCCGGUGGUCUCUGGGGAUGAUGGUUCUGGGACUCGCUCUCCCCUAGGUUUGUUUCUGGGGAGAAUUUAAAAUAAACAGCUUUUGUUAGUA